AUUGAACGCUGGCGGCAGGCCUAACACAUGCCAGUCGAACGGUAACAGGAAGCAGCUUGCUGCUUCGCUGACGAGUGGCGGACGGGUGAGUAAUGUCUGGGAAACUGCCUGAUGGAGGGGGAUAACUACUGGAAACGGUAGCUAAUACCGCAUAACGUCGCAAGACCAAAGAGGGGGACCUUAGGGCCUCUUGCCAUCGGAUGCGCCCAGAUGGGAUUAGCUAGUAGGUGGGGUAACGGCUCACCUAGGCGACGAUCCCUAGCUGGUCUGAGAGGAUGACCAGCCACACUGGAACUGAGACACGGUCCAGACUCCUACGGGAGGCAGCAGUGGGGAAUAUUGCACAAUGGGCGCAAGCCUGAUGCAGCCAUGCCGCGUGUAUGAAGAAGGCCUUCGGGUUGUAAAGUACUUUCAGCGGGGAGGAAGGGAGUAAAGUUAAUACCUUUGCUCAUUGACGUUACCCGCAGAAGAAGCACCGGCUAACUCCGUG
Molecule: ribosomal RNA, 490 nt
Filed under: uncultured bacterium
Lineage: Bacteria
Description: partial 16S ribosomal RNA
Rfam family: Bacterial small subunit ribosomal RNA
Source: RNAcentral